GCGUUGUCCCAUGCACGCCCAUUUGCCCAUUUUCCAGGGUAAUUGGGUGCUAUUUUUGAAGGACAUAUAGAAAUCAUGUGAACAAUCUUACCGAAACGUUUUGCUAAUUUUUUGGCACUGCUUUUCAUUUAAAUUGUUGAACAAUUAUGAA
Molecule: small nucleolar RNA, 151 nt
Organism: Drosophila melanogaster (fruit fly)
Lineage: Eukaryota; Metazoa; Arthropoda; Insecta; Diptera; Drosophilidae
Source: Ensembl